Long non-coding RNA from Oncorhynchus keta (chum salmon), 5374 nucleotides. RefSeq lists it as uncharacterized. The transcript is spliced from 4 exons. The record is from RefSeq and is a predicted model, not a curated record. Lineage: Eukaryota; Metazoa; Chordata; Actinopteri; Salmoniformes; Salmonidae.
CUCUGUCAGGUUGGAUGGGGAGUGUUGCUGCAAAUCUAUUUUUAGGUCUCUCUAGAGAUGUUCGAUCGGGUUCAAGUCCGGGCUCUGGCUGGGCCACUCAAGGACAUUCAGAGACUUGUCCCGAAGACCAUCCUGCGUUGUCUUGGCUCUGUGCUUAGGGUCGUUGCCCUGUUGGAAGGUGAACCUUCGUCCCAGUCUGAGGUCCUGAGUGCUCUGGAGCAGGUGUUCAUCAAGGAUCUCUCUGUACUUUGCUCCGUUCACCUUUGCCUCAUCCCCGACUGGUCUCCCAGUCCCUGCCGCUGAAAAACAUCCCCACAGCAUGAUGCUGCCACCACCAUGCUUCACCGUAGGGAUUUUUUAAUUUUACCUUUAUUUAACCAGGCAAGUCAGUUAAGAACAUAUUCUUAUUUUCAAUGACGGCCUGGGAACAGUGGGUUAACUGCCUGUUCAGGGGCAGAACGACAGAUUUGUACCUUGUCAGCUCAGGGGUUUGAACUCACAACCUUCCGGUUACUAGUCCAACGCUAACCACUAGGCUACGCUGCCGCCCCGGGAUGGUGCCAGGUCUCCUCCAGACGUGACACCUGGCAUUUCAGGCCAAAGAGUUCAAUCUUAGUUUCAUCAAAUUAAAAUUGUAUUUGUCACAUGCGUCGAAAACAACAGGUGUAAGUAGACCUUACAGUGAAAUUCUUACUUAACUUGCAGUUAAGAAAAAAAUGUUCAAUAACAGUAACAAAUAAUUAAAGAGCAGCAAGAAAUAUCAAUAGUGGCCAUAUACAGGGGGUACCGGUUAGUCGAGGUAAUAUGUACAGGGGGUACCGGUUAGUCGAGGUAAUAUGUACAGGGGGUACCGGUUAGUCGAGGUAAUAUGUACAGGGGGUACCGGUUAGUCGAGGUAAUAUGUACAGGGGGUACCGGUUAGUCGAGGUAAUAUGUACAGGGGGUACCGGUUAGUCGAGGUAAUAUGUACAGGGGGUACCGGUUAGUCGAGGUAAUAUGUACAGGGGGUACCGGUUAGUCGAGGUAAUAUGUACAGGGGGUACCGGUUAGUCGAGGUAAUAUGUACAGGGGGUACCGGUUAGUCGAGGUAAUAUGUACAGGGGGUACCGGUUAGUCGAGGUAAUAUGUACAGGGGGUACCGGUUAGUCGAGGUAAUAUGUACAGGGGGUACCGGUUAGUCGAGGUAAUAUGUACAGGGGGUACCGGUUAGUCGAGGUAAUAUGUACAGGGGGUACCGGUUAGUCGAGGUAAUAUGUACAGGGGGUACCGGUUAGUCGAGGUAAUAUAUACAGGGGGUACCGGUUAGUCGAGGUAAUAUAUACAGGGGGUACCGGUUAGUCGAGGUAAUAUGUACAGGGGGUACCGGUUAGUCGAGGUAAUAUGUACAGGGGGUACCGGUUAGUCGAGGUAAUAUGUACAGGGGGUACCGGUUAGUCGAGGUAAUAUGUACAUGUAGGUAGAGGUACAGUGACUAUAUACAGGGGGUACCGGUUAGUCGAGGUAAUAUGUACAUGUAGGUAGAGGUACAGUGACUAUGUACAGGGGGUACCGGUUAGUCGAGGUAAUAUGUACAUGUAGGUAGAGGUACAGUGACUAUGCAUCAGACAAGAUAACCUUGUUUCUCAUGGUUAGAGUCCUUUAGGUGCCUUUUACUGAGGAGUGGCUUCCCUCUGGUCACUACCAUAAAGGCCUGAUUGGUAGAGUGCUGCAGAGAUGGUUGUCCUUCUGGAAGGUUCUUCCAUCUCCACAGAGGAACUCUGGAGCUCUGUCAGUGGCCAUAGGGUUCUUGGUCACCUCCCUGAGUAAGGCCCUUCUCCCCCCAAUUGCUUAGUUUGGCUGUGCGGCCAGCUCUAGGAAGAGUCUCGGUGGUUUGAAACUUCUUCCACUUCAGAAUGAUGGAGGCCACUGUGUUCUUGGGGACCUUUAAUGCUGCAGAAAUGUUUUGGUACCCUUCCCAGGAUCUGUGCCUCGGCACAAUCCUGUCUCGGAGCUCUACAGACAAUUCCUUUGACCUCAUGGCUUGGUUUUUGCUCUGACAUGCACUGUCAACUUUGGGACAUUAUAUAGACAAGUGCGUCUUUCCAAAUCAUGUCCUAUCAACUGAAUUUACCACAGGUGACUCCAAUCAAGUUGUGUAAACAUCAAGGAUGAUCAAUGGAAACAGAAUGCACCGGAGCAUAAUUUCAAGUUCUCAUAGCAAAGGGUCUGAAUACUUAUGGAAAUAAGGUAUCAGUUUUUUUAUUUGUAAUAGUUUUGCAAAAUGUUCUAAAAACCCGUUUUCACUUUGUCAUCAUGGGGCAUUGUGUGUAGAUUGAUGAGGAUGUUAUUUAUUUCAUACAUUUUAGGAUAAGGCUGUAAUGUAACAAAAUGUGGAAAAAGUCAAGGGGUCUGAAUACUUCCCGAAAGCACUGUACAACCACAUGGCAUGAUUUAAGAAUGGCAAAGGGAUAUUUUAUUUAUUUUUAACUAGGCAAGUCAGUUAAUAAGAACACAUUCUUAAUUACAAUGACAGCCUAGGAAGACACCCAGGAAGUGGGUCAACUGCCUUGUUCAGGGGCAGAACACCAGAUUUUUAACCUUGUCGGCUCGGGGAUUCGAUCUAGCAACCUUUCGGUUACUGGCCCAGCGCUCUAACCACUAGGCUACCUACCGCCCCAUAGAGACUUUAUUCAGUCAGGUUAACACCUUCUAUAUAAACUAGUCAGCACUUGCUGUUCAGUUUAGAGGUCAAUGCCGAUACCAAUGAAAACAGGCCAUUUUUCUUUCUUUCUUUGUAAUGACAAUUACAACAAUACUGAAUGAACUUAAUAUAAUACAUCAAUAAAAUCAAUUUAGCCUCAAAUAAAUAAUGAAACAUGUUCAAUUUGGUUUAAAUAAUGCAAAAACAAAGUGUUGGAGAAGAAAGUAAAAGUGCAAUAUGUGCCAUGUAAGAAAGCUAACGUUUCAGUUCCUUGCUCAGAACAUGAGAACAUAUGAAAGAUGGUGGUUCCUUUUAACAUGAGUCUUCAAUAUUCCCUGGUAACAAGUUUUAGGUUGUAGUUAUUAUAGGACUAUUUCUCUCUAUAUCAUUUUGUAUUUCAUAUACCUUUGACUAUUGGAUGUUCUUAUCGGCACUUUAGUAUUGUGUAACAGCAUAGCUUCCGUCCCUCUCCUCGCUCCUCCCUGGGCUCGAACCAGGAACACAUCGACAACAGCCACCAUCGAAGCAUCGUUACACAUCUCUCCACAAAAGCCGUGGCCCUUGCAGAACAAGGGGAACAACCACUCCAAGGCUCAGAGCGAGUGACGUCACCGAUUGAAAAGCUAUCAGCGCGCACCACCGCUAACUAGCUAGCCAUUACACAUCGGUUACACCAGCCUAAUCUCAGGAGUUGAUAGGCUUGAAGUCAUAAACAGCUCAAUGCUUGAAGCACAGCGAAGAGCUGCUGGCAAACGCACGUAAGUGCUGUUUGAAUGAAUGCUUACGUGCCUGCUUCUGCCUACCACCGCUCAGUCAUAUACUUAGAUACUUGUCUGCUCACAGUCAGACUGCUCUAUCAAAUCAUAGACUUAAUUAUAACAUAAUAACACACAGAAAUACAAGCCUUAGGUCAUUAAUAUGGUAAAAUCCGGAAACUAUCAUUUCGAAAACAAAACGUUUACUUUUUCAGUGAAAUACGGAACCGUUCUGUAUGUUAUCUAACGGGCGGCAUCCAUAAGUCUAAAUAUUCCUGUUACAUUGCACAACCUUCAAUGUUAUGUCAUAAUUACGUAAAAUUCUGGCAAAUUAGUUUGCAAUGAGCCAGGCGGCCCAAACUGUUGCAUAUACCCUGACUCUGCAUGCAAUGAACACAAGAGAAGAGACAAUUUCCCUAGUUAAUAUUGCCUGCUAAACUUUUAACUAAAUAUGCAGGUUUAAAAAAUAUACUUCUGUGUAUUGAUUUUAAGAAAGACAUUGAUGUUUAUGGUUAGGUACAUUCGUACAACGAUUGUGCUUUUUUCGUAAAUGCGCUUUUGUUAAGUCAUCCCCCGUUUGACGAAGUUGGUCUUCACACAGUUCACAACGAGCCAGGAGGCCCAAACUGCUGCAUAUAGCCUGACUCUGUUGCACAGAACGUAAGAGAAGUGACACAAUUUCCCUAGUUAAAAUAAAUUAAUGUUAACAGGCAAUAUUAACUAAAUAUGCAGGUUUAAAAAUAUAUACUUGUGUAUUGAUUUUAAGAAAGGCGUUGAUGUAUAUGGUUAGGUACACAUUGGUGCAACAACUGCUUUUUUUCGCGAAUGCGCUUGUUAAAUAACCGUUUGGCGAAGUAGUCUAUGAUUCAAUGGUAAAUUAACAGGCACCGCAUAGAUUAUAUGCAACGCAGGACAAGCUAGAUAAACUAGUAAUAUCAUCGACCAUAUUAUCAACCGUUAACUAGUAAUUAUGUUAAGAUUGAUUGUUUUUUUUAUAAGAUACGUUAAAUGCUAGCUAGCACCUUACCGUGGCUCCUUGCUGCAGUCACAUAACAGGUAGUCAGCCUGCCAUGCAGUCACCUCGUGGAGUGCAAUAUAAUCGACAUGAUCGGUGUCCAAAAAUGCCGAUUACAGAUUGUUAUGAAAACUUGAAAUCGGCCAUUCCGAUUAAUCGGUCGACCCCUAAUUGUUGUCAAUCAAAGCACAGUAAAUAACCUACUGUCGCCAUGACUUCGAGUGGCUGGCUAUGUGAAACACAAAAAAAUAAAAUGAGUGUGUCAAAAAACAAUAAUUAGUCUAAGGGGAUUGACUCAUCAUUACCACUUACAUUAUAUGGGACAUGCAAAUUCAGGAGCAUCAUGCUCUCUCUUCCUCCUUGGUGUAAAGAAAUUCAACUGCAACUAGAGAUGUGUAUAUAAUGAGAUGCUCACUUCUCCACCCUUACAAUGGGAGUUGUUGUCGUUGUCCCAAAGGCGGGAAGGCAGGAGACCAAAUUAAGUCCAUAGAAAUGCAUAGGGCUUAUUUUGGACAGAUUUUGUCGAGAGUGAAACCUGUCGCGUCGCCUCUUCCUCUCUGCUGUUAUUCCAUUAUCGCUGGCUUUGUGACUGACUGUCCUAUCAAUAGAUCACCUGGAGAUGCAUAUUGUUCAUUCUCGCAGGAAAGGACUCGACAGACUAGCGAAUUGAAACUUUUAAAAGAAAAGUAGCCUAGUUAAUAUAAAAUGGAAAACGUAGCUUGGUUGAAAAUGAGCCUGUAACCAGCUGAUUAGUCGACAGCCGGCGUGAAUAGAAAACACUGUAUCAGUUAGACACCAGAGCAUAACAUAGUGAGUGACAUGUUCAGUGGCUACAUGACAGAGACACCACGUGGACUAUUCUCUCACAUUAAUUUAUGACAGUGGGCCUAUGGCUCAAUAUAAUCACAAUAUAAGGCAAGCAUA